RNAcentral lists this long non-coding RNA (608 nucleotides) under Physcomitrium patens. RNAcentral describes it as "long non-coding RNA (PPAT_LNC009867)". The record is from RNAcentral. Lineage: Eukaryota; Viridiplantae; Streptophyta; Bryopsida; Funariales; Funariaceae.
UUAAUUAUAGGAUUACGGUUAGAAUCUGGGAAUUGGAAGUAAGUAUAUAGGAGUUGUAGAAGUUAGUUUGAGUAUUAGACUAUGAUAGUCAUGAGCCAAGGUAAGUUUGGUGCUACCUCUUUGUUUCUUUGUUUCUUUGUUAUUGAAAAGUAAUGGAUAAUUUUUGAAUAUUGAGAAGUAGGUCUGUCGAAUAAAUCAAAGAUUGAUUUAUGAAUUAUUGAUUAUAUAAUUGGAGCACUGAGUGAUUGAAGUAUAUGAGGAGUUAUUGGAAGAUUAUGAUUAUUGUUUAUUGAGAGUUGUAUGUGUUUCGAUAGAGGAAGUCUAUGAAUACAGAAAUUAUGUGAAUUUAGAUUAGUUGGAGUGAAGUCUGUUAUUUCUAGUGUUAGAUGAAAUUAUUAUAUUUUGAGCGGCCUUUUGAGAGUGCAAGAUUGCACACUAUUGUUAUUAGUUGAUGAAAGAGUAUUGUUAUUGGGAGAAAGUAUUGCAGUAUUUUUGAUAUUUUAGUGGUUUGGAAUAUGGUUAAUUAUGUGACUCUAAUAAGUAAAACUCAUGCACUUAGUCUUUUUCUAUGUUUGAAUCCCCCUAUAUAAGAUUAUUUUGAAAGAAAU